This 1132-nucleotide long non-coding RNA is filed under the name Pan troglodytes (chimpanzee). RNAcentral's name for it is "lincRNA". The record is from RNAcentral. Lineage: Eukaryota; Metazoa; Chordata; Mammalia; Primates; Hominidae.
GCUCCCCCGCGGGAGCCCGCGCGUGGUUCCCAGCGAAGUCCCCGCGCGGCUGGGCCCAGCGUGAGUAUUCUCCGCCCGCUGUCCUCCCCCUGGAGGCGGCAGCGCCCGUUUAUUUGAGGAGGAUGAGGCUGUCACUACUACAGUUGGGACUGUUUCAUACUCCUUGCUCUUGUGCUAUGCCAGGGGGUACUGUCUAACCCACAAGUCUCUGCCAGGAAUGUUGCCGUCCACACUGGAGUGUAAGACACCUGCGGAGCUCGUCUGUGGGGCUCAUGUUGGCUGAGGCUCUGAACUACAGAAUUGCAAACAACCAAGGGAACGCCCCAGGCCCCCAAGCUUCUAAUGUGAGGAAAAACACGGAAUGACAAGUGUGGGAAAGAGCAAGCACUAAAUUACUGUCAGAAAAAUAAACGGAGUAGCACAGUGCUGCUCGGUGAUUUACGGGGGCAAUUAGUCACCACCCCACGGCGCUGCUGAGGACAGCACAGCAGCAGACAAGUCAGGCCCACGAGGAAGAAGAGGCUUUGCACUGCUCUCCAGACAACUUUUCAAACAACAAGAGAGGAUAUUUGAGCACAUUAGGUUUUGUGUCUUCAUUCUGGCCAUGUGAAGAUGUGCUUGCUUCGCCUUCCAUCAUGACUGAAGUUUCCUGAGGCCUCCCCAGCUAUGCUCCCUAUACAGCCUGCAGAACGGUCGGCUGCCUCCAAUCCUGAGGUCAUCACUCAUCAAGAGGGGAUAAUCCCAGGGACAGCAGGAUCUGCUUCGUUACUUGGAUUUAGGAGCCAGAAACCCAUCAGGCAACUAAACAGUAACAAUGACCCACCAUUAAACACACUGAGAGAAGAGCAUGAUGAAGAGUUUGUACAAGAAGAAGCCAGGAGCACUUGCUGACAAUGCUUACAGAGACGCAGGCUUCUAUGAGCUCUGCCUGUUGAACUGCAGUAAAAAUAGAUCUCCUUCCCCAGAGAGGCUUGGAUGUGGGCACAAUAUCAGUUCAGACGAUGGUCAAUGCAUGUACUUAAUAGAGUGAAAAGACUUUGGACUGUGAAGUCAGAUUACCUGGGUCUGAAUUGUUAUUCUUCUACUUCUUUGUAGUAUGCUUUCACCACAUUAAAAAUUGUCUGAGCCUCAA